Molecule: ribosomal RNA, 207 nt
Filed under: uncultured bacterium
Lineage: Bacteria
Description: partial 16S ribosomal RNA
Rfam family: Bacterial small subunit ribosomal RNA
Source: RNAcentral
CAUGCAGGCGGUCGGACGCGUUUUGUGUGACAGCGGGUGGCUUAACUACCCGAGUACGCGAAAGACGGUCUGACUUGAGGGCUCGAGAGGGACACGGAAUUCCGGGUGGAGUGGUGAAAUGCGUAGAGAUCCGGAGGAACACCGAAGGCGAAGGCAGUGUCCCGGCGAGUGACUGACGCUGAGGUGCGAAAGCCAGGGGAGCGAACG